AUUCAUAUAGUUUAUUUUAAAACCUUUUUUUUUCAAAAAAAUAAUAGUACYCAGUAUUUAUGAAUG
Molecule: transfer RNA, 66 nt
Filed under: Jacobiasca formosana
Lineage: Eukaryota; Metazoa; Arthropoda; Insecta; Hemiptera; Cicadellidae
Description: tRNA-Glu
Source: RNAcentral